UGAAAAGCAUUGACCGAAAGAGUAGGACACAGAAAGAAGUCUAGAGAGGGAUGAUUGGUGAAAAAUCCCCUUCUGACUGUGCCUGAAGGUAAUUCGGGAGCAACCCGGCUGAACCAAGUAGGCUGGGGCGGUUCAUUUACCGUUAUUAAAUGAUUAAGUGGGGUUGUAACUUUACAAUCCAAUUUAGGUGGUACCGCGGAACUCGUCCUAUUA
This 213-nucleotide non-coding RNA is filed under the name Limosilactobacillus frumenti. RNAcentral describes it as "Lactobacillus frumenti T-box sequence". It matches the Rfam family "T-box leader". Rfam says of the family: Uncharged tRNA acts as the effector for transcription antitermination of genes in the T-box leader family. T-boxes are found upstream of many aminoacyl-tRNA synthetase genes and some amino acid biosynthetic genes usually in Gram-positive bacteria. Lineage: Bacteria; Bacillati; Bacillota; Bacilli; Lactobacillales; Lactobacillaceae. The record is from RNAcentral.